RNAcentral lists this transfer RNA (85 nucleotides) under Devosia neptuniae. RNAcentral's name for it is "tRNA-Leu". It matches the Rfam family "tRNA". From Rfam's summary of the family: Transfer RNA (tRNA) molecules are approximately 80 nucleotides in length. Lineage: Bacteria; Pseudomonadati; Pseudomonadota; Alphaproteobacteria; Hyphomicrobiales; Devosiaceae. The record is from RNAcentral. RNAcentral also lists the same sequence under 46 other names.
GCGGGUGUGGCGGAACUGGUAGACGCACUGGAUUUAGGUUCCAGCGCCGCAAGGCGUGGAGGUUCGAGUCCUCUCACCCGCACCA